Eucalyptus grandis is the source of this 1516-nucleotide long non-coding RNA. RefSeq lists it as uncharacterized. The record is from RefSeq and is a predicted model, not a curated record. The transcript has 2 exons. NCBI's taxonomy places the organism in Eukaryota, Viridiplantae, Streptophyta, Magnoliopsida, Myrtales, Myrtaceae.
AUGGAACAGUAACGCAGGGGGGAGAGUGAGGAUCUGAGGAAGUUUAUGCACGCCAAAAUUAGGGUUGCAAUUCAAGUGAAUGGGCAGAUCGAUCUGGGGUAAAUAAGGGUGGUGACAGAAGAGAGUGAGCACACAUGGUACUCUUUCUUGCAUGUCCCAAUUCAUGCUCGAAGCUCUGUGUGCUCACUCUCUGUCUGUCACCCCCUUCUCUCUCUCCCUCCCUCCGACCCUCUCUCUCUCUCUCUCUCUCUGUGUUUUUGCUCUUCUGUUGUUUGUGCAUGUGUGAAUUUGUGAUGCAUUUUCUCUGCCUGUUGUGUGUUUAAUCUGCCCAGAAAAACUUGCAUCUUUUGCGUUUGCUAUGUUGUUUUAAGGUUUUAAAGUACAGCCUCAGCGAACAUAUGUUUUCUUUCUUGGGUUUUUACCAGAUCUUCUAUGUUUGUCCUUUUAUACACCGCUGAUAAUUUGCCCCGGCGAAAUGGAAGAAGCUAGCGUUGAAUUGAAUUUAAAAACAAAAUUUUUGCCCUUAUUUUUUUUCCUUGUGUAACUGACUCAUAGAUCCUGCUCUUGUACUUUUUUUGGGUACUUAAAAUACAAAAGGUCUGUACUUUCUCCAUCCAAAAAUUACAGUGUCCAAGAAUUCUGUUUUCCCCAAAUAAUUUAUUAGUGAUUAGCGAGAUCUUUUUUGUUUCUUGUUUUUUUGGUUCUGUGUUGUUGAGCUUUAGCAGAUCUAACCUUCCUGUUUCAGAAAAACGAUCUUCAAGGUUGUAGACUCCCUAGAAGAAUCAGAUCUAUCAGUUUCUUCUAUUUCUCCUUUCAAUCAUAUUCAUUUCACCUUCUUCUUUACAUUGUUUUAUGUGUUGGAGUUUUUCCUUUUUUUUUUCUUUUUUGGGGUUUGCAGGGUGAUGCAUUUUGAGAUGGGUUCUUUACUGGAGGGCAAUUUCCAUCGAUCCUGAGGUAUAUACUUUUGCAACCCAGAUGGACCAAUUGUGACCAAAGUACUCUCGUGAGUUAGAACUCUCAGUCUGGAAAAAACUAGGCCAAGCUCGAGUACUCUAAGAUCAGUGGCAAAGUAGCAAGCAAAAAGAUCAUAUCCAGAAUCUUGUGACAACAUAAGAAGUGUAGAUUCAUGUACUUGCAAUUUGAAAGUGCUCUCUUGCUGAUUGGAUCGGGCAGCUCGGCAGUGCAGAGCCAACUCUCUUCUUGAAUUUAUGGAAUUAGAAUGCCUGUCGUGUAGGGCGUGAAUGUUUGUUGUUCUGAAUAUAGCUCAGAACUCAUGUUAGCUGCAUUACUCACGAUGGUGCUACUACUUAAGUUAGCAAUUCAUAUUCUUUGAUGUGUUAUUUCAUCACUGGAAUUUUGUUAUGGAAAGACCUCCGAGCACUUGUUUACGAGCGCUACUACAUGGACAGAAUUUUUACGUCGAGGCGAUGGUAGUGUUGUAAUUUUAUAGCUUAAUGAGAGCCUCAAGGAUUACCCAUUAACAUGUAUUCUUAAUAAUAUAUGAUCAUUUGCCUGA